This 368-nucleotide unclassified non-coding RNA is filed under the name soil metagenome. RNAcentral's name for it is "partial contains 5.8S ribosomal RNA, internal transcribed spacer 2, and large subunit ribosomal RNA". The stretch from base 1 to 120 matches the Rfam family "5.8S ribosomal RNA", at positions 35 to 154 of the family's 154-position model. The record is from RNAcentral.
GAUGAAGAACGUAGCGAAAUGCGAUACGUAAUGUGAAUUGCAGAAUUCAGUGAAUCAUCGAGUCUUUGAACGCACAUUGCGCCCGGCAGUAAUCUGCCGGGCAUGCCUGUCCGAGCGUCAUUUCUGCCCUCGAGCGAGUCCAGCAUCUAGGUGCUGGGCCCGCCCGGCGUUGGGGCACUACGGGAAGCCCUGUGCUGUCCCCCGUAGGCCCCGAAAUGAAGUGGCGGUCCUGCCGCGGCGCCCCCUGCGUAGUAUAACAGCUCGCUUCGGGACCCGGUGGAGGCCUGCCGUCAAACCUUACUCUCUAAGUUUGACCUCGGAUCAGGUAGGGUUACCCGCUGAACUUAAGCAUAUCAAUAAGCGGAGGA